UUUCCGUAGGUGAACCUGCGGAAGGAUCAUUAACUACCGGCACCCCUCCCGGGGGGUGCGCGGCUCGGGGCGACCCGUGCCGUCUGUAGUCCCUGUCUUUUCGAGUACCUGUUCCGUUUCCUCGGCGGGCCUGCCCGCCAGCGAGGACCCAAAACAAACCUGCAAUCUCAGUAAUAAAUUCAGAAACCCCCCAAAAUUUAAAACUUUCAACAAUGGAUCUCUUGGCUCUGGCAUCGAUGAAGAACGCAGC
Molecule: unclassified non-coding RNA, 250 nt
Filed under: uncultured fungus
Lineage: Eukaryota; Fungi
Description: sequence contains ITS1, 5.8S rRNA gene
Rfam family: 5.8S ribosomal RNA (bases 202-250)
Source: RNAcentral